This 497-nucleotide ribosomal RNA is filed under the name uncultured bacterium. RNAcentral describes it as "partial 16S ribosomal RNA". It matches the Rfam family "Bacterial small subunit ribosomal RNA", at positions 28 to 507 of the family's 1533-position model. The record is from RNAcentral.
GAUGAACGCUGGCGGCGUGCCUAAUACAUGCAAGUCGAGCGAACAGACGAGGAGCUUGCUCCUCUGACGUUAGCGGCGGACGGGUGAGUAACACGUGGAUAACCUACCUAUAAGACUGGGAUAACUUCGGGAAACCGGAGCUAAUACCGGAUAAUAUAUUGAACCGCAUGGUUCAAUAGUGAAAGACGGUUUUGCUGUCACUUAUAGAUGGAUCUGCGCCGCAUUAGCUAGUUGGUAAGGUAACGGCUUACCAAGGCAACGAUGCGUAGCCGAACUGAAAGGGUGAUCGGCGACACUGGAACGGAGACACGGUCCAGACUACUAAGGGAGGCAGCAGUAGGGAAUCUGCCGCAAUGGGCGAAAGCAUGACGGAGCAACGCCGAGUGAGUGAUGAAGGUCUUCGGAUCGUAAAACUCUGUUAUUAGGGAAGAACAAAUGUGUAAGUAAAUAUGCACGUCUUGACGGUACCUAAUCAGAAAGCCACGGCUAACUACGUG